This 693-nucleotide ribosomal RNA is filed under the name Priestia megaterium. RNAcentral's name for it is "bacterial SSU rRNA". It matches the Rfam family "Bacterial small subunit ribosomal RNA", at positions 62 to 737 of the family's 1533-position model. Lineage: Bacteria; Bacillati; Bacillota; Bacilli; Caryophanales; Bacillaceae. The record is from RNAcentral.
UCGAGCGACUGAUUAGAAGCUUGCUUCUAUGACGUUAGCGGCGGACGGGUGAGUAACACGUGGGCAACCUGCCUGUAAGACUGGGAUAACUUCGGGAAACCGAAGCUAAUACCGGAUAGGAUCUUCUCCUUCAUGGGAGAUGAUUGAAAGAUGGUUUCGGCUAUCACUUACAGAUGGGCCCGCGGUGCAUUAGCUAGUUGGUGAGGUAACGGCUCACCAAGGCAACGAUGCAUAGCCGACCUGAGAGGGUGAUCGGCCACACUGGGACUGAGACACGGCCCAGACUCCUACGGGAGGCAGCAGUAGGGAAUCUUCCGCAAUGGACGAAAGUCUGACGGAGCAACGCCGCGUGAGUGAUGAAGGCUUUCGGGUCGUAAAACUCUGUUGUUAGGGAAGAACAAGUACGAGAGUAACUGCUCGUACCUUGACGGUACCUAACCAGAAAGCCACGGCUAACUACGUGCCAGCAGCCGCGGUAAUACGUAGGUGGCAAGCGUUAUCCGGAAUUAUUGGGCGUAAAGCGCGCGCAGGCGGUUUCUUAAGUCUGAUGUGAAAGCCCACGGCUCAACCGUGGAGGGUCAUUGGAAACUGGGGAACUUGAGUGCAGAAGAGAAAAGCGGAAUUCCACGUGUAGCGGUGAAAUGCGUAGAGAUGUGGAGGAACACCAGUGGCGAAGGCGGCUUUUUGGUCUGU